This 477-nucleotide ribosomal RNA is filed under the name Triticum aestivum (bread wheat). Its description in RNAcentral is "partial small subunit ribosomal RNA". The record is from RNAcentral. Lineage: Eukaryota; Viridiplantae; Streptophyta; Magnoliopsida; Poales; Poaceae.
AUGGCAAAACAAAUCGAUGUUGAUGAGCUAGGUAAGCUGGUCCGCAGGAAGAAGGUAGCACCCCUUACAGCACUAGAUUUGUGGAGAUUCAACAUGAUGAGCCAAAAGGACAUCCUCUUCUCCGAACCUUUGGUGCAAGGAAUGUGUAGUGAUCUUCAUAAAGCUUGCAAGGUAACAUCUCCACCUCACCUGCAAGAUAACAGGAGAAAGAGAACGCCGAGUGUGAUACAGAAGAAGAGAGGAAUCAUACUCGACGAUGAAGAAAUGCUCUCCAUUGCCUAUAUGGCGAAACAAAUUGAUGGCGAUGAGCUAGGUGAGCUGGUCUGCACGAAGAAGAUAGCACCCCUUACAGCACUGGAAAUGUGGAGAUUCAACAUGAUGAGCCAAAAGGACAGUUUCUUCUCCGAACCUUUGGUGCAAGGAAUGUGUGCUGACCUCCAUAAAAGCUUGCUCGGGGGCCUACCCUCGUUUGAGUGA